This 253-nucleotide ribosomal RNA is filed under the name uncultured bacterium. RNAcentral describes it as "partial 16S ribosomal RNA". It matches the Rfam family "Bacterial small subunit ribosomal RNA", at positions 524 to 776 of the family's 1533-position model. The record is from RNAcentral.
UACAGAGGAUGCAAGCGUUGUUCGAAAUUACUGGGCGUAAAGCGCGUGUAGGCGGCUUAAUAAGUCAGGCGUGAAAUCCCUUGGCUCAACCAAGGAACUGCGUUUGAAACUGUUUAGCUAGAGUAUCGGAGGGGAUGGCGGAAUUCCUGGUGUAGAGGUGAAAUUCGUAGAUAUCAGGAGGAACACCCGUGGCGAAGGCGGCCAUCUGGAAGAUUACUGACGCUGAGACGCGAAAGCGUGGGUAGCAAACAGG